This 468-nucleotide ribosomal RNA is filed under the name uncultured bacterium. RNAcentral describes it as "partial 16S ribosomal RNA". It matches the Rfam family "Bacterial small subunit ribosomal RNA", at positions 28 to 507 of the family's 1533-position model. The record is from RNAcentral.
GACGAACGCUGGCGGCGUGCUUAACACAUGCAAGUCGAACGGAAAGGCCCUGCUUUUGUGGGGUGCUCGAGUGGCGAACGGGUGAGUAACACGUGAGUAACCUGCCCUUGACUUUGGGAUAACUUCAGGAAACUGGGGCUAAUACCGGAUAGGAGCUCCUGCUGCAUGGUGGGGGUUGGAAAGUUUCGGCGGUUGGGGAUGGACUCGCGGCUUUUCAGCUUGUUGGUGGGGUAGUGGCUUACCAAGGCUUUGACGGGUAGCCGGCCUGAGAGGGUGACCGGCCACAUUGGGACUGAGGUACGGCCCGGACUCCAACGGGAGGCAGCAGUGGGGAAUAUUGCACAAUGGGCGGAAGCCUGAUGCAGCAACGCCGCGUGCGGGAUGACGGCCUUCGGGUUGUAAACCGCUUUCGCCUGUGACGAAGCGUGAGUGACGGUAACGGGUAAAGAAGCACCGGCUAACUACGUG